RNAcentral lists this ribosomal RNA (253 nucleotides) under uncultured bacterium. RNAcentral's name for it is "partial 16S ribosomal RNA". It matches the Rfam family "Bacterial small subunit ribosomal RNA", at positions 524 to 776 of the family's 1533-position model. The record is from RNAcentral.
UACGUAGGGUGCGAGCGUUAAUCGGAAUUACUGGGCGUAAAGUGUGCGCAGGCGGCCGAGCAAGUCGAGUGUGAAAGCCCCGAGCUUAACUUGGGAACUGCGCUCGAAACUACUUGGCUAGAGUGUGGCAGAGGGAGGUGGAAUUCCACGUGUAGCGGUGAAAUGCGUAGAGAUGUGGAGGAACACCGAUGGCGAAGGCAGCCGCCUGGGCCAACACUGACGCUCAUGCACGAAAGCGUGGGGAGCAAACAGG